AUUAUUAUAAUUAAAAAUAAUAAUAUUUAAUUAGUAUUAGUUAUAUACUUGAAAUUUAAAAAAUUUGGCGGUAUUUUAAUCUUAUUAGAGGAACCUGUUCUGUAAUCGAUAUUCCACGUUAAAUUUUACUAAGUUUUAUUAUUUGUAUAUCGUUGUCUAAAGAAUAUUUUAUAAGGAUAUAAAUUUUCUAAAAUUUAAAUUUAAAUUUAUGUCAAAUCAAGGUGCAGUUUAUAAUUUAGAAGAAAUGGGUUACAAUAAAAUUAUUUAAAUGAAUUUAAUUUUGAAAUAAAUUAUUAAAGGUGGAUUUAAUAGUAAAUUAAUUUUAAUAAAAUUAAUUGAUUAAAGUUCUAAAAUAUGUAC
This 360-nucleotide ribosomal RNA is filed under the name Xenopsylla cunicularis. Its description in RNAcentral is "partial small subunit ribosomal RNA". The record is from RNAcentral. Lineage: Eukaryota; Metazoa; Arthropoda; Insecta; Siphonaptera; Pulicidae.